RNAcentral lists this long non-coding RNA (465 nucleotides) under Coffea arabica (coffee). RNAcentral's name for it is "long non-coding RNA (CARA_LNC000714)". Lineage: Eukaryota; Viridiplantae; Streptophyta; Magnoliopsida; Gentianales; Rubiaceae. The record is from RNAcentral.
GGAAAUCUUGGCCUUAAACCAAGGUCUCCCUUCCUAUUCCUUUGUCCUUUGCUCUUCCUUUCAUUCAAUAAAGUCUCUCUUAGGUUAUCUUAGUGAGAGUUUUCUUCUCUCCUAGGGUGUCCUAUUGAGAGUUUUAGUCUCUUCUAAACUAUCUUAGUGAGAGUUUUAUUUAGUUUUGUUAUUUACUUUUUCAGAUCUUGGAGUUUUUUUAGAUCUAUAUGUUAGAUCUACAAUUUUUUCAGUCUUCUCAUCAGAUCUCACUUUCAGUUUUGAGCUUGAACCAGUUGGAUAGCAGAUCUAAGGGAAUAUUUCAGAUUUGGAUCAAUCUCGGCAAAUCUCACCAUCUUUAUUGGACCUUACAACUGUUGAUUAGCAGAUCUGACGAUUACAGCAUGCACAAAGAGAACUGCAACGACUUUUUCUAUGAUGAAAUGUUUUUCAAAUUGAUGGUACUUUUUAGAUCUG